This 468-nucleotide ribosomal RNA is filed under the name uncultured bacterium. Its description in RNAcentral is "partial 16S ribosomal RNA". It matches the Rfam family "Bacterial small subunit ribosomal RNA", at positions 28 to 507 of the family's 1533-position model. The record is from RNAcentral.
GACGAACGCUGGCGGCGUGCUUAACACAUGCAAGUCGAACGGAAAGGCUCCAGCUUGCUGGAGUACUCGAGUGGCGAACGGGUGAGUAACACGUGGGUGAUCUGCCCUGCACUUCGGGAUAAGCCUGGGAAACUGGGUCUAAUACCGGAUAGGACCGCACUUUGGUGUGUGUGCUGGAAAGGAUUUUCUGGUGUGGGAUGAGCUCGCGUCCUAUCGGUUUGUUGGUGGGGUAAUGGCAUACCAAGACGGCGACGGGUAGCCGGCCUGAGGAGGUGGACGGUGGCACUGAGUCUGAGAUGAGGCACAGAUUCCGACGGGUGGCAACAGUGGGGAAUAUUGAACAAUGGGGGAAGCCCGAGUGCAGAGGGGCCUCGUGGGGGAUGACGGUCUUCUGAUUGUAGAAUCCUUUCGCUAGGGACGAAGCUUUUUGUGACGGUACCUGGAGAAGAAGCACCGGCUAACUACGUG